This 323-nucleotide ribosomal RNA is filed under the name Allapsidae sp. Its description in RNAcentral is "SSU rRNA". The stretch from base 63 to 323 matches the Rfam family "Eukaryotic small subunit ribosomal RNA", at positions 693 to 955 of the family's 1831-position model. The record is from RNAcentral. RNAcentral also lists the same sequence under 1 other name. Lineage: Eukaryota; Cercozoa; Glissomonadida; Viridiraptoridae.
GAUUUCUGGUUUGAUGUGCCUGUCCCGCCACGGUAACGUGUGUGAGUGACGGUGUACGUCUGCCAUCCUUCUAGAUUCGGCAGGUUACUCUUAACUGAGUGGUCUGUCUGUUCUAGAUCUUUUACUUUGAAAAAAUUAGAGUGUUUCAAGCAGGCUUUUGCUAUGAAUACAUUAGCAUGGAAUAAUGAGUUAGGACUUCGGUUCUAUUUUGUUGGUUUCUAGGGCUGAAGUAAUGAUUGAUAGGGACAGUUGGGGGUGCUAGUAUUCAGUGCGAAGAGGUGAAAUUCUUGGAUCCACUGAAGACUAACUUAUGCGAAAGCAUU